RNAcentral lists this ribosomal RNA (495 nucleotides) under uncultured bacterium. RNAcentral's name for it is "partial 16S ribosomal RNA". It matches the Rfam family "Bacterial small subunit ribosomal RNA", at positions 29 to 506 of the family's 1533-position model. The record is from RNAcentral.
AUGAACGCUGGCGGCGUGCCUAAUACCUGCAAGUCGAGCGAACAGACGAGGAGCUUGCUCCUCUGACGUUAGCGGCGGACGGGUGAGUAACACGUGGAUAACCUACCUAUAAGACUGGGAUAACUUCGGGAAACCGGAGCUAAUACCGGAUAAUAUAUUGAACCGCAUGGUUCAAUAGUGAAAGACGGUUUUGCUGUCACUUAUAGAUGGAUCCGCGCCGCAUUAGCUAGUUGGUAAGGUAACGGCUUACCAAGGCAACGAUGCGUAGCCGACCUGAGAGGGUGAUCGGCCACACUGGAACUGAGACACGGUCCAGACUCCUACGGGAGGCAGCAGUAGGGAAUCUUCCGCAAUGGGCGAAAGCUUGACGGAGCAACGCCGCGUGAGUGAUGAAGGUCUUCGGAUCGUAAAACUCUGUUAUUAGGGAAGAACAAAUGUGUAAGUAACUAUGCACGUCUUGACGGUACCUAAGCAGAAAGCCACGGCUAACUACGU